GCUCAGAUUGAACGCUGGCGGCAGGCCUAACACAUGCAAGUCGAACGGUAACAGGAAUCAGCUUGCUGAUUCGCUGACGAGUGGCGGACGGGUGAGUAAUGUCUGGGAAACUGCCUGAUGGAGGGGGACAACUACUGGAAACGGUAGCUAAUACCGCAUAACGUCGCAAGACCAAAGAGGGGGACCUUCGGGCCUCUUGCCAUCGGAUGUGCCCAGAUGGGAUUAGCUAGUAGGUGGGGUAACGGCUCACCUAGGCGACGAUCCCUAGCUGGUCUGAGAGGAUGACCAGCCACACUGGAACUGAGACACGGUCCAGACUCCUACGGGAGGCAGCAGUA
Molecule: ribosomal RNA, 338 nt
Filed under: uncultured bacterium
Lineage: Bacteria
Description: bacterial SSU rRNA
Rfam family: Bacterial small subunit ribosomal RNA
Source: RNAcentral